RNAcentral lists this transfer RNA (65 nucleotides) under Neoperlops gressitti. RNAcentral describes it as "tRNA-Pro". It matches the Rfam family "tRNA". Rfam says of the family: Transfer RNA (tRNA) molecules are approximately 80 nucleotides in length. The record is from RNAcentral. Lineage: Eukaryota; Metazoa; Arthropoda; Insecta; Plecoptera; Perlidae.
CAGAGAGUAGUUUAAGUUAAAAUAUUAAUUUUGGGGAUUAAUGAUAGAGGUAUCUUUCUCUCUGA